AAUCAGAAAACCCGAUCAAAAAUAAAGAAAGCAGCCCAGAUUUUCACCUCAAAACCCAUUGCUCGCAAUUUUUUUCUUCUUCAGCUACAUCUCUGCAACUUUCGGUUUUUCUUCGUGGUGGUUCACCCCCUUGUCGUUUCUGUGAAUUUUUGAUGUCUUUGUGAAGUGGUUGAAUAGUAUUUUGAUAGUGAAAAUUGAAACGGCGGCGUUUUGAUGGUGGGCUAGUGGUGGUGGUCGGCGGCGGCUUGAUGGUGGGCUAUUGGUGGUGGUCGGCGGCGUUUUGAUGGUGGUCGGCGGCGGCUUGAUGGUGGGCUAUUGGUGGUGGUCGGUGGUGUUUUGAUGGUGGGCUAUUGGUGGUGGUCGGCGGCGGUUUGAUGGUGGGCUAUUGGUGGUGGUCGGUGGCGGGUGGAUGUUUCAAUAUCCACAACCCUCAUCUUCUACAUCCACAUUUCUUCGGCCCUGUUUUUUUUUUUGCUAUUAGAUUUGGGUGGAUAAAUCCUUCAGCCCUCAACAAGUCCUUGUUUUAAUUUUCUUCUGUAAUUUUUAAUUUAUGUUUUAUAAUUUAUAUACAGGCAUAUUUUUU
Molecule: long non-coding RNA, 583 nt
Filed under: Erythranthe guttata (spotted monkey flower)
Lineage: Eukaryota; Viridiplantae; Streptophyta; Magnoliopsida; Lamiales; Phrymaceae
Description: long non-coding RNA (EGUT_LNC001539)
Source: RNAcentral